AAGCUAUUAGGGAUAGUAAGUUGAUAUGAUAUAAAUGAAAUUGAUUGUUAUUGAAAUGAAUUAAAAUGGAAUAUGAUUGAUAAGUGUAUAGUUGAAUAUAGUUUAAUGAUAUUGAAUUGUGAAUAAAUUAAGGAAAGCUAUACCGAAUAGUAAGUGAAAGAAUGGAGUAAAUAAUAAUGGAUUUAGUUAAGAAUUGAACAAUUAUGUUAUUGUGUUUAUUAUAUGAUUUGUAUAAAAUUUAUAUGGUAAGUAGUUGAAAUUUAUCUAUGAAUAAAUAAUUGAAUAAUUGUAAUUGUUAUUAUGAUCUUAAGUAUUUGUUAUAUUAUAAAUUGUUCGGAUUAUAGAAAUACCACUGAG
Molecule: long non-coding RNA, 357 nt
Filed under: Gossypium barbadense (sea-island cotton)
Lineage: Eukaryota; Viridiplantae; Streptophyta; Magnoliopsida; Malvales; Malvaceae
Description: long non-coding RNA (GBAR_LNC007667)
Source: RNAcentral